CUUCUCCCAGGCUUGUCCCUGCACUGAGGCAUGGUGAGAGCUGCUGCUGCUGAGGAUGGUGCAGUCAGACAGGUUCCUCACAGCUGAAUCCUGUGCAGGUCGAUAUGCUCUGCUGUGAAUGACCCAAACAGGAUUGACUUUUCACUAAAAAAUAAAUCACAGAUCUGGUGUGUGGCCAUGCAAACCUUGUUGCAGACUGGAUCCAGGAAGAUCUUUGGGUCUGCUAGCAGCAACUCUUCUGCUUCUGUCCUUGAAGAAUUUUCAUAACUGAAGCAACACAGCUGUCAAGUUUGCAGGGAUUUUUCUUUUUCUUCAGCUGAUGAGUUGAUCACUCACACAGCAGUCCAAGCUUCCUGAAAGUGGGAAAUGGUGGAGAGAGGCUGAACAAUCCAGGGGCUUGAGUAAUCCCCAAGAAACAGCAGAUACACCACCUGUUUGUUUGCACCCUACUUUGAGAGCCAUUCAUUGAUUUUUGCUGGACUGUCAUUCACAAGGAAGGAAGGCAGGUAGAAGAAAAUGAACCAACAUGUUUCCUCAGACGCACAGCUACAAGCUUCUUAAACUGAUCUUCACUUCAGCACAAGCCGCAGAAGCUUCACACUCAGCAGAGAAUUCCCAAUGAGGCCUUGGGAACACUCAGUAUCUGCCUUCAACAAAUUAAUCCCUCAGGAGAUAAGAAUCCAACAUCUUAGAAGGAAUGAAAA
Zonotrichia leucophrys gambelii is the source of this 704-nucleotide long non-coding RNA. RefSeq lists it as uncharacterized. The record is from RefSeq and is a predicted model, not a curated record. Lineage: Eukaryota; Metazoa; Chordata; Aves; Passeriformes; Passerellidae. The transcript is spliced from 4 exons.